This 73-nucleotide transfer RNA is filed under the name Candidatus Nesciobacter abundans. It matches the Rfam family "tRNA". Rfam says of the family: Transfer RNA (tRNA) molecules are approximately 80 nucleotides in length. The record is from Rfam by way of RNAcentral. Lineage: Bacteria; Pseudomonadati; Pseudomonadota; Alphaproteobacteria; Holosporales; Holosporaceae.
GCCAAAAUAGCUCAGUUGGUAGAGCAACUGAUUCGUAAUCAGUAGGCCAGGUGUUCGAAUCACCUUUUUGGCA